GACGAACGCUGGCGGCGUGCUUAACACAUGCAAGUCGAACGGAAAGGCCCUGCGUUUUUGGUCUGCCCGAGUGGGGAACGCGUGAGUAACACGUGAGUAACCUGCCCUUCACUUUGGGGUAACUUCAGGUAACUGGGGCUAAUACCGGACAGGAGCUCCCGCUGCAUGGUGGGGGGUGGAAAGUUUCGGCGGUCGGGGUUGGACUCGCGGCUUAUCAGCUUGCUGGUGGGGUAGUGGCUUACCCAGGCUUUGACGGGUAGCCGGCCUGGGAGGGUGACCGGCCACAUUGGGACUAAGGUACGGCCCAGACUCCUACGGGAGGCAGAAGUGGGGAAUAUUGCACAAUGGGCGGAAGCCUGAUGCAGCAACGCCGCGUGCGGGAUGACGGCCUUCGGGUUGUAAACCGCUUUCGCCUGUGACGAAGCGUGAGUGACGGUAAUGGAUAAAGAAGCACCGGCUAACUACGUG
Molecule: ribosomal RNA, 468 nt
Filed under: uncultured bacterium
Lineage: Bacteria
Description: partial 16S ribosomal RNA
Rfam family: Bacterial small subunit ribosomal RNA
Source: RNAcentral